RNAcentral lists this ribosomal RNA (293 nucleotides) under uncultured bacterium. Its description in RNAcentral is "partial 16S ribosomal RNA". It matches the Rfam family "Bacterial small subunit ribosomal RNA", at positions 505 to 796 of the family's 1533-position model. The record is from RNAcentral.
GUUCCAGCCGCCGCGGUAAUACGGGGGGAGCAAGCGUUGUUCGGAUUUACUGGGCGUAAAGGGCGCGUAGGCGGCCAGUGCAAGUCAGUUGUGAAAUCUCCGAGCUUAACUCGGAAAGGUCAACUGAUACUGCUCGGCUAGAGUGCGGAAGGGGCAACUGGAAUUCUUGGUGUAGCGGUGAAAUGCGUAGAUAUCAAGAGGAACACCUGCGGCGAAGGCGGGUUGCUGGGCCGACACUGACGCUGAGGCGCGAAAGCUAGGGGAGCGAACGGGAUUAGAAACCCCUGUAGUCC